GCUGUUUGGCAAUUCUCAUCUACAGGAAUUGCAUAAUUGCUGAAGUGUAAAUUACAAGUUAGAGGUAUGUCAAAAAUCGUAGGUCAGUUCUUGAUUUCUUAUUAGAAAUAAUUUAGCUCUUACAUUUCAUUCCGUUAACAAAAUAGUCCCUUUGCCAUCGGUAUUUUUUUCCCCCAACAUGUGAUGUCAAGAGUCUUAUGGGCUUGUAAGAG
This 212-nucleotide unclassified non-coding RNA is filed under the name Hevea brasiliensis (rubber tree). Lineage: Eukaryota; Viridiplantae; Streptophyta; Magnoliopsida; Malpighiales; Euphorbiaceae. The record is from RNAcentral.